UACGUAGGUGGCAAGCGUUGUCCGGAUUUACUGGGCGUAAAGAGCGCGCAGGCGGUCGUUCAAGUCGCGUGUGAAAGCCCCCGGCUCAACUGGGGAGGGUCACGCGAUACUGAUCGACUGGAAGGCAGGAGAGGGUAGUGGAAUUCCCGGUGUAGCGGUGAAAUGCGCAGAUAUCAGGAGGAACACCGGUGGCGAAGGCGGAUCUCUGGGCCUUGCCUGACGCUGAGGCGCGAAAGCUAGGGGAGCGAACAGG
RNAcentral lists this ribosomal RNA (253 nucleotides) under uncultured bacterium. RNAcentral's name for it is "partial 16S ribosomal RNA". It matches the Rfam family "Bacterial small subunit ribosomal RNA", at positions 524 to 776 of the family's 1533-position model. The record is from RNAcentral.